RNAcentral lists this ribosomal RNA (646 nucleotides) under uncultured bacterium. RNAcentral's name for it is "bacterial SSU rRNA". It matches the Rfam family "Bacterial small subunit ribosomal RNA", at positions 8 to 646 of the family's 1533-position model. The record is from RNAcentral.
AGAGUUUGAUCAUGGCUCAGAUUGAACGCUGGCGGUAUGCUUAACACAUGCAAGUCGAACGGAAACGAAACUAGCUUGCUAGUAGGCGUCGAGUGGCGGACGGGUGAGUAACGCGUAGGAAUCUGCCUGAUAGUGGGGGAUAGCCCGAAGAAAUUCGGAUUAAUACCGCAUAAUCUAUUCGUAGUAAAGUGGGGGACUUUCGAGCCUCAUGCUAUCAGAUGAGCCUGCGUAAGAUUAGCUUGUUGGUAGGGUAAAAGCCUACCAAGGCAACGAUCUUUAGCUGGUCUGAGAGGAUGAUCAGCCACAUCGGGACUGAGACACGGCCCGAACUCCUACGGGAGGCAGCAGUGGGGAAUAUUGGACAAUGGGGGCAACCCUGAUCCAGCAAUACCGCGUGUGUGAAGAAGGCCUGAGGGUUGUAAAGCACUUUCAAUUGUGAAGAAAAGUUAACGGUUAAUAACCGUUGACCUUGACGUUAACUUUAGAAGAAGCACCGGCUAACUCCGUGCCAGCAGCCGCGGUAAUACGGAGGGUGCAAGCGUUAAUCGGAAUUACUGGGCGUAAAGCGUGCGUAGGUGGUUUAUUAAGUCAGAUGUGAAAGCCCCGGGCUUAACCUGGGAACUGCAUUUGAACUGGUCAACUAGAG